AAACAUCUGUUGACGAGAAGAGUAAGCUUGGUUUAUCUUUUUAGAGAGUCUCUGGUUGGUGAAAAGAGAUAAGAUAGAAAGGCUGAAGAUGGUCUCUGAGGAAAAGUUGUUGAUAGGUAAGCAACUUCGGGCGGCACCCGUUAUCCAUGCAGCAAGUUAAAACAUGACUUGAGUAGAGAGAAGCAAGUGAUUUGCUUCAAAAAAAGGUGGUACCGCGACUAUUUCGCCCUUUUA
This 234-nucleotide non-coding RNA is filed under the name Enterococcus sp. RNAcentral's name for it is "T-box sequence". It matches the Rfam family "T-box leader". Rfam says of the family: Uncharged tRNA acts as the effector for transcription antitermination of genes in the T-box leader family. T-boxes are found upstream of many aminoacyl-tRNA synthetase genes and some amino acid biosynthetic genes usually in Gram-positive bacteria. The record is from RNAcentral. Lineage: Bacteria; Bacillati; Bacillota; Bacilli; Lactobacillales; Enterococcaceae.